RNAcentral lists this ribosomal RNA (165 nucleotides) under Brachionus calyciflorus. RNAcentral's name for it is "5.8S ribosomal RNA". It matches the Rfam family "5.8S ribosomal RNA". From Rfam's summary of the family: 5.8S ribosomal RNA (5.8S rRNA) is a component of the large subunit of the eukaryotic ribosome. The record is from RNAcentral. Lineage: Eukaryota; Metazoa; Rotifera; Eurotatoria; Ploima; Brachionidae.
ACAACCCUAUGCGGGGAUCACUUGGCUCGCGAGUCGAUGAAGAGCGCAGCAAACUGCGUGAAUUAAUGUGAUUUGCAGGACCCAUUGAUCAUGGAUAUCUUGAACGCAUAUUGCGGUUAUGGAUGGCUUCCAUGACCACCCCUGUCGGGGGGUGGGUAUUAUUAU